AUUGAACGCUGGCGGCAGGCCUAACACAUGCAAGUAGAACGAGUGGCGGACGGGUGAGUAAUGUCUGGGAAACUGCCUGAUGGUGGGGGUUAACUACUGUAAACGGUAGCUAAUACCGCAUACCAUCAGAUGUGCCCAGAUGGGAUUAGCUUGGUGGUGGGGUAACGGCUCACCAAAACUACGAUCCCUAGCUGGUCUGAGUGGAUGACGAGACACACUGGAACUGAGACACGGGCCAGACUCCGACUGGAGGCCGAAGUGGGGGAUAUUGCACAAUUGGCGGAAGCCUGAUGAAGCCAUGCCGCGUGUAUGAAGAAGGCCUUCGGGUUGUAAAGUACGUUCAGCGGGGAGGCGUUACCCGCAGAAGGAGCACCGGCUAACUCCGUGCCAGCAGCCGCGGUAAUAC
RNAcentral lists this ribosomal RNA (406 nucleotides) under uncultured bacterium. RNAcentral's name for it is "partial 16S ribosomal RNA". It matches the Rfam family "Bacterial small subunit ribosomal RNA", at positions 30 to 526 of the family's 1533-position model. The record is from RNAcentral.